UUCAGACCCAGCACAGUGUUUAUGUU
Molecule: non-coding RNA, 26 nt
Filed under: Homo sapiens (human)
Lineage: Eukaryota; Metazoa; Chordata; Mammalia; Primates; Hominidae
Source: RNAcentral